GGUUCAUGGUUGUCACUGUUUAGUGUUUAAUGUUUAUAUUUUAUAGAUUCCUAAGAUCUUCAAAAUAAAAAACAUUGUUUCAAAGGGCUGUAAUCUGUAUGGACUAAAGUCCUUUGCCUUUCACAUUAGGGAUAAAUUAAUAUCAUCAAUCAUCAUCAUCAUUGUUUCAAAUUUUAUAGUUGAAUGUUUUAAAAAUAAUCAUGCUAAUAUUUAUUUUAGAAUGUAAUUUCAAAUGAAAAUAAAAUUGGGACAAGCAAUAGUUUAAGAAGUGUGACCCAAUUGGAGUAAAUGGAAUGGUAGAUUAACAUAAAAGGCCUAACUCUUAUUGUUGUUUAAUUUUAAAUUGUCUAACUAAUCACUUCUUUCAUUUUGUUUGAUUUUAGGGAAUGGUCACCUAAAGACAGCCUUCCACUUACUGUUCAAAAUUAAAUAAUUUAAUCAUAUUGGUACUGUGUAUACCUAUGAAAGUCUAUAUUUAAAAAAAAGGGAGGAUAAUCUAAAUUUACAUUUUCUACCAGUCCCCAAAUCAGGGACGUAGAGUAGGCGAGAUGAACUGGCAUGAAAGUCUUUUCCACUUUUUUAAAUUGCAAAUAUGGUACAUCGUAGUCCACCAAGUACAAGAAAAUUGUAAGAAAGUACAAGUACAGUUUGCAAGAAAAGGGGCAACCCGAACCUUCGGUUUCCACCCCAAGCAAUGUUUACCCGUUACUGUGAAAUGUCUGCAAACUUUUACAAUAAAUAUUCUCCUUUACAAGUUUGAUUGUAGGAGAAGUAAACUAUGUAAAAUCAAAAUUUUCUUGCAAAGUUUUCUUUCUUGUCUAAAGUAAAAUUAUGAUAACUAAUUAUUAUGUAAUUUUAUUACAUUGAAUUAAAUCUUGCUGAUUCUGCAACAGCAAAAUUAAUUUUAUUCAAUCAAUAUAAUAAUUUUAUUACAUUGAAUUAAAUCUUGCUGAUUCUGCAACAGCAAAAUUAUAUCUUUCUUGAAUUACUUCAAAAUUAGUAAUGUCUUCCAUUCUGUUGAUAACACACUUUGUGUGCAUAAGAGUAGCCUGGAGUAUCAAGCUUAUCUCUAUUGUCAGUUUCAUAAUAAACCAAUAAGAGUAGCACUCUCGAUCAUUAUAAACCUACACAGAGGCAUAAGACAAAGUAACAAUAGAUUGAAUCGUUAUCGCCAAAGCAUAAAAUCAUAGAUUAGGGAUAUAUCUAAUAUGUUGAGACUUACAUACCAAUACCACUUAUCAUUUUUCGAUGGCAAAAAUAUAUAAACAGUAGGAAAAAACUCAAUAUCGUUUUUAAGACGUAUCUAUAGACUUGUUACACAGGUAUACGAGGGCGGCACUGAAAAUUUCGGGAAUCAAGGAAGUGACACAACAUUACUAUUUAAAAGUGUAUUUAUUGCUUUUCGAAGUAUUCUCCGCGAAAUUUGACACAUUUUUCCAUACGAUGGAACCAAUAAUAGAAGCAACCAUUCCAUUCGGAAGUUGGGGUCUCCAAAAUGGCCGUUUUGUAGGCGUCCACAGCUUCUUCAGGUGAUGAAAAUCUCUGACCACGCAAUUUAUUCUUUAUUUUAGGGAAAGUAUAGAAAUCAUUAGGGCUUAGGUCGGGGCUGUACGGCGGAUGGUCUAAUAAUUCUGUUUUCUUGCUCUAAAAACUCUUUUGUUCUGUGCGCGGUGUGAGAACUCGCAUUGUCGUGAUGGAGGAUGAUGCAGAUGAGGUUGCAGUUCUCUUUACGGAGUUCAGAAACGACCUGUGGCAAACAAAUGCUAGCAUACCAUUCUGCAUUAACCGUUCUUUGUCCCUCAAGAAGAAUAGUCGCAACAUGGCCGGUUUUGGAGACGAACGUGGCCACCAUUUUUUUUGCAACACUCCGUGAACGAACAAUUUUCGUUGGCUUUAACUCAUUUUCGAAUACCCAAACUCGUUACUGGUUUUUUGUUUCGGGUUCGUACGCGUAUAUCCAGAUUCGUCACCUGAUACGAUGUUGUAUACAGCAUUUGAGGAUCCUGAGUGGAAUCUUUCGAGAGUUCUGACGCACCAAGUAACGCGAGCCGCUUUUUGCUCUUCACAGAGCGAAUGCGGUGUCCAUCCGGAAAACAACUUUUUUACACCUAAUUGUUCAUGCAAGAUUAUUUGUAUUCGACUCAUACCAAUGUCUAAAGUUGCCUGAAUUUCGAGGUAUGUCACACGUCGAUCUUCCUCAAUCAGCUUACGCACAGCAUCAACGUUUUCUUGGGUGACUGCAGUUUUUGGACGACCUUGACGGGGAUCAUCAUUGAGCUUGACACGUCCACGUUGAAAUUCAGCAAACCAGCUAUAAACUGUGGUUUUGGAUGGGGCUUCAUCACCAAAUGCAGAAAUCAUCCGGUCACUGAUUUGUGAUAAACCACUUCGAAAGUCAUAAUAAAUCAUCGCUCUUGAAUUUUCUCGAGUCAAUUUCAUUUUCUCAACGACUAAACAAGUUUGACAAAACUUUGUGACAAGUCCGAGAAUCUUU
Long non-coding RNA from Pieris napi, 2494 nucleotides. RefSeq lists it as uncharacterized. Lineage: Eukaryota; Metazoa; Arthropoda; Insecta; Lepidoptera; Pieridae. The record is from RefSeq and is a predicted model, not a curated record. The transcript is spliced from 3 exons.